This 86-nucleotide transfer RNA is filed under the name Pyxidicoccus fallax. It matches the Rfam family "tRNA". From Rfam's summary of the family: Transfer RNA (tRNA) molecules are approximately 80 nucleotides in length. Their secondary structure includes four short double-helical elements and three loops (D, anti-codon, and T loops). RNAcentral also lists the same sequence under 1 other name. The record is from Rfam by way of RNAcentral. Lineage: Bacteria; Pseudomonadati; Myxococcota; Myxococcia; Myxococcales; Myxococcaceae.
GGGGACGUAGAGCGUUAGGGGAGGCGCGUCGGCCUGUAGAGCCGGAGCCCGCGAGGGCCCGCUGGGUUCAACUCCCAGCGUCCCCA